RNAcentral lists this ribosomal RNA (253 nucleotides) under uncultured bacterium. RNAcentral describes it as "partial 16S ribosomal RNA". It matches the Rfam family "Bacterial small subunit ribosomal RNA", at positions 524 to 776 of the family's 1533-position model. The record is from RNAcentral.
UACGGGGGGGGCAAGCGUUGUUCGGAAUUACUGGGCGUAAAGGGCUCGUAGGCGGCCAACUAAGUCAGACGUGAAAUCCCUCGGCUUAACCGGGGAAUGGCGUCUGAUACUGGAUGGCUUGAAUCCGGGAGAGGGAUGCGGAAUUCCAGGUGUAGCGGUGAAAUGCGUAGAUAUCUGGAGGAACACCGGUGGCGAAGGCGGCAUCCUGGACCGGCAUUGACGCUGAGGAGCGAAAGCGUGGGGAGCGAACAGG